RNAcentral lists this ribosomal RNA (509 nucleotides) under uncultured bacterium. Its description in RNAcentral is "bacterial SSU rRNA". It matches the Rfam family "Bacterial small subunit ribosomal RNA", at positions 15 to 518 of the family's 1533-position model. The record is from RNAcentral.
GAUCCUGGCUCAGGAUGAACGCUGGCGGCGUGCCUAAUACAUGCAAGUCGAACGAGAGAGCUUGCUCUCGAGUGGCGAACGGGUGAGUAACACGUAGGUAACCUACCUUACAGUUUGGGAUACCCAGAGGAAACUUUGGCUAAUACCGAAUAAUUGAUUGGAAGGCAUCUUCCGAUUCUAAAAGGGGCUCUCAAGCCUCGCUGAAAGAUGGACCUGCGGCGCAUUAGCUAGUUGGUGAGAUAACAGCCCACCAAGGCGAGGAUGCGUAGCCGACCUGAGAGGGUGAACGGCCACACUGGAACUGAGACACGGUCCAGACUCCUACGGGAGGCAGCAGUAGGGAGUUUUCGGCAAUGGGGGAAACCCUGACCGAGCAACGCCGCGUGAGUGAAUGAAGGUCUUCGGAUUGUAAAGCCCUGUUGUAGGGGAAGAACGAUACGAUGAGGAAAUGCUUCGUAUUUGACGGUACCUUAUUAGAAAGCCACGGCUAACUACGUGCCAGCAGCUGC